AUUGAACGCUGGCGGCAGGCCUAACACAUGCAAGUCGAGCGGAUGAAGGGAGCUUGCUCCUGGAUUCAGCGGCGGACGGGUGAGUAAUGCCUAGGAAUCUCCCUGGUAGUGGGGGAUAACGUCGGGAAACGGGCGCUAAUACCGCAUACGUCCUGAGGGAGAAAGUGGGGGAUCUUCGGACCUCACGCUAUCAGAUGAGCCUAGGUCGGAUUAGCUAGUUGGUGGGGUAAAGGCCUACCAAGGCGACGAUCCGUAACUGGUCUGAGAGGAUGAUCAGUCACACUGGAACUGAGACACGGUCCAGACUCCUACGGGAGGCAGCAGUGGGGAAUAUUGGACAAUGGGCGAAAGCCUGAUCCAGCCAUGCCGCGUGUGUGAAGAAGGUCUUCGGAUUGUAAAGCACUUUAAGUUGGGAGGAAGGGCAGUAAGUUAAUACCGUGCUGUUUUGACGUUACCAACAGAAUAAGCACCGGCUAACUUCGUG
RNAcentral lists this ribosomal RNA (484 nucleotides) under uncultured bacterium. RNAcentral's name for it is "partial 16S ribosomal RNA". It matches the Rfam family "Bacterial small subunit ribosomal RNA", at positions 30 to 507 of the family's 1533-position model. The record is from RNAcentral.